Molecule: ribosomal RNA, 200 nt
Filed under: uncultured bacterium
Lineage: Bacteria
Description: partial 16S ribosomal RNA
Rfam family: Bacterial small subunit ribosomal RNA
Source: RNAcentral
UACGAAGGUCCCAAGCGUUGUUCGGAUUUACUGGGCGUAAAGCGUGCGUAGGCGGUAAGGUAAGUCAGAUGUGAAAUCCCGGGGCUCAACCCCGGAACUGCAUCCGAUACUGCUUUGCUAGAGUAAUGGAGGGGCAUCUGGAAUUCAUGGUGUAGCAGUGAAAUGCGUAGAUAUCAUGAGGAACACUAGUGGCGAAGGCG